UGGGGAAUUUUGGACAAUGGGGGAAACCCUGAUCCAGCCAUCCCGCGUGUGCGAUGAAGGCCUUCGGGUUGUAAAGCACUUUUGGCAGGAAAGAAACGUCAUGGGUUAAUACCCCGUGAAACUGACGGUACCUGCAGAAUAAGCACCGGCUAACUACGUGCCAGCAGCCGCGGUAAUACGUAGGGUGAAAGCGUUAAUCGGAAUUACUGGGCGUAAAGAGUGCGCAGGCGGUUCGGAAAGAAAGAUGUGAAAUCCCAGAGCUCAACUUUGGAACUGCAUUUUUAACUACCGGGCUAGAGUGUGUCAGAGGGAGGUGGAAUUCCGCGUUUAGCAGUGAGAUGCGUAGGUAUGCGGAGGAACACCGAUGGCGAAGGCAGCCUCCUGGGAUAACACUGACGCUCAUGCACGAAAGCGUGGGGAGCAAACAGG
This 429-nucleotide ribosomal RNA is filed under the name Acidobacteriota bacterium. RNAcentral describes it as "Acidobacteria bacterium partial 16S ribosomal RNA". It matches the Rfam family "Bacterial small subunit ribosomal RNA", at positions 355 to 776 of the family's 1533-position model. Lineage: Bacteria; Pseudomonadati; Acidobacteriota. The record is from RNAcentral.